UACGUAGGGAGCAAGCGUUAUCCGGAUUUAUUGGGUGUAAAGGGUGCGUAGACGGGAAGGCAAGUUGGUUGUGAAAUCCCUCGGCUUAACUGAGGAACUGCAACCAAAACUAUCUUUCUUGAGUGCUGGAGAGGGAAGUGGAAUUCCUAGUGUAGCGGUGAAAUGCGUAGAUAUUAGGAGGAACACCAGUGGCGAAGGCGACUUUCUGGACAGUAACUGACGUUGAGGCACGAAAGUGUGGGGAGCAAACAGG
Molecule: ribosomal RNA, 253 nt
Filed under: uncultured bacterium
Lineage: Bacteria
Description: partial 16S ribosomal RNA
Rfam family: Bacterial small subunit ribosomal RNA
Source: RNAcentral